Molecule: non-coding RNA, 1530 nt
Organism: Paramuricea clavata
Lineage: Eukaryota; Metazoa; Cnidaria; Anthozoa; Malacalcyonacea; Plexauridae
Source: the annotation of a GenBank genome assembly
CACGAAUGAAAAAUUAUCUGACUUGUUUUCGAUAAUGCUCACAAUUUCUUUCUUAUUAUAUUGUUUUGCAGCUCUGACUGAGUACAAUCUUAAUCAUUUAUACUAGAAAAUACGUAAACGAUAUAUUACUAGGACAUGUUUCUAAAAUUUAAGCCUAUGUCUUGGAAGAACAAGAUUCAAUCUGUUCAUAAUGUUAAUUAUCUACCAACAAUCCGACAACGUCCCUGUACAACCUUGUGGACCAUAACAACUCUUUUCGUAGAUUUUUUGCAGAAUCUUAAUUUUAGUUUGUCUGAUAGCGGGUUUGCGUUGACAAAUUUCUUUUUUUCAUGUGUACAAACAACAUCGCAAUUGAACCACACUUGUGUGCACAUAGUCAUAAAGGAUUGUUUUCAUCUCAACCGAUCAUCCAAAAAAAAAGCUCCCCACAAGUUCAAGAAGAGUUAACUACCCCUACGGAUUCCUAGACGGUUUUGUUGCAAGGAUGUCUUUCCAAACGUUCGAAGCACCCUGAUAUGGUAACGUUUGACACUGUGGGAACAAAAGUUUUAUUUUCAGUAUUUCAAACCUGCACAAAUGAUCUAUAGUUAGUGCCAUUAAUCACAACUGUUACACCGCUAUAAACCUUUUAUAACUCUUUCCAUAAAGUAAAUAUUUGCAUUUGCUUGGUUGAACUUGUAAAUCAGGAACCAAAACUGAUGCCUGUGGUGUUUUUAUUUCUCCAACGAAUACAGCAGUUAACUCACAUUUAGUCUUUCAAACUGGAUUAAUCCUCGACUGGAGCGUACAGAAUUUUGCCUUCAUCAGUGCUCCACUACGUCGCAAAAUGGUGGCUGAAUUUCAACGUCAUUUUCCACGACGACAUUUUCCGAGCAGUAUCACAAGGUAGAUCCUGUCUCUAUUUCAAGAUUGUGUUCCAGAUAGUGAUUAGGUGAAAGUAUUUACUGACGUUUUGGUUUUGCCAUAUCGCUUGCUUCAUGAUUCUUGCAAUCAUCAAUGUUCAUCCACGUUGCAAAUUAUUGGUUAUAGUUCAAUUAGAUUUUUUACAAAUACAGAACUCAAUACUGGUCUGUGUCACAUACAUAAACAUAUUUAUUUUGUUACACGUUCAAAUAUGUCCUGCUUCAAUCUUUUAACUAAGUUGUAACAAACUUGAACAAUAAUUAUCUACCUUGGAAAAAAUAAGUACAUUUUCCUUUAUGUUAUUUUAUUUUAUUAAAAAAAAAAAUAUUUUUGUUGAAAACGUUCUUCUCAUAUGCAUAUUAUUAGCUUAUGCCAAGAUAGAGCGUUUUCAAAUAUUGCCUUUCGAGAACAUAUAGCAAAGAUAUUUUUGAGAAAAUAAUCUAUGAAAAUACCUUUGUUAUAUCUACGAAAUGUUGACUAUACGACGUUAGCCUGAAAUUUCCGAGUACUGCACGCAUGAAUGGCAAUUAUACAAGCAAUUUUACACCCAAUUUCAAACACCUACAAAACAUUUGUUUUAUUUUUCCAGGAAUUAGAUCGAUUAGAAAUUCUCGGUCGCUAGCUGGA